RNAcentral lists this ribosomal RNA (485 nucleotides) under Filifactor villosus. RNAcentral's name for it is "bacterial SSU rRNA". It matches the Rfam family "Bacterial small subunit ribosomal RNA", at positions 9 to 496 of the family's 1533-position model. Lineage: Bacteria; Bacillati; Bacillota; Clostridia; Peptostreptococcales; Filifactoraceae. The record is from RNAcentral.
GAGUUUGAUUCUGGCUCAGGAUGAACGCUGGCGGCGUGCUUAACACAUGCAAGUCGAACGGGCGAAUUAUAUCGGAGGUCUUCGGGCCGAAGAGAUAAUAAGCUAGUGGCGGGCGGGUGCGUAACGUGUGGGUAAUCUGCCUUUGUCAUAGGAAUAACUGCUUGAAAAAGUAGCUAAUACCAAAUAACAUAUCGUAUAGGCAUCUAUAAGAUAUCAAAGAGAAAUCGGACAAAGAUGAGCCCGCAUCUGAUUAGCUGGUUGGUAGGGUAAAAGCCUACCAAGGCGACGAUCAGUAGCCGGCCUGAGAGGGUGAACGGCCACAUUGGAACUGAGACACGGUCCAAACUCCUACGGGAGGCAGCAGUGGGGAAUAUUGCACAAUGGGGGGAACCCUGAUGCAGCAACGCCGCGUGAGUGAAGAAGGCUUUCGAGUCGUAAAACUCUGUUGUAAGGGAAGAUAANGACGGACCUAAAAGAAGCCCCGG